This 455-nucleotide long non-coding RNA is filed under the name Populus trichocarpa (black cottonwood). Its description in RNAcentral is "long non-coding RNA (PTRI_LNC001530)". The record is from RNAcentral. Lineage: Eukaryota; Viridiplantae; Streptophyta; Magnoliopsida; Malpighiales; Salicaceae.
AAAGAACGCGGGGGGGAAAAAAGGAAGAAAAACUGGAAAAAAAAGGGGAAAGAAAAACUGGGGGGACAGGAGGAAAAAGGAAGACCCGAACCGACAGACGCAAGGGCAACCAAGGGAACACAGAGAAGAGGAGAUAAUAAAAAAGCAAGAACAGAGAGACUAUAGGGACCAGAGCUUUUCUUUCUUUCUUUCUUUGAGAACAGAGGCAGAGAGGAGGAACGAAACAGAAGUCACCCUCAUCACAAUCGUCUUCGGAAACCAGUGACGAGCGAACAGAGGAAAGAACCAGAGAAGAUGGAGGAGAGCAAGAGCUAGGGUGCUAUGCUUCAUCUUCGUCCCUAGAGUGCAAGCAAAUAAAAACAGAGGAGCUGCUGGCGUUGAUCAGUUCAGCCGCUCGUCUCCAGCUUCACCACACCAAGUCAGUAGCAGCCAAAGAAGCAAGGCCAGAAGAACAG